This 81-nucleotide transfer RNA is filed under the name Paragonimus skrjabini miyazakii. Its description in RNAcentral is "Paragonimus miyazakii tRNA-Asn". It matches the Rfam family "tRNA". Rfam says of the family: Transfer RNA (tRNA) molecules are approximately 80 nucleotides in length. The record is from RNAcentral. Lineage: Eukaryota; Metazoa; Platyhelminthes; Trematoda; Plagiorchiida; Troglotrematidae.
GGCUUCGUGGUUCAGCUGGUGGAGCACUUACCGCGUUGAGGCAUGGUGUUUCUGUCGUUGGUUCGAAUCCAGCCGAAGCCC